RNAcentral lists this transfer RNA (73 nucleotides) under Burkholderiaceae bacterium. RNAcentral describes it as "tRNA-OTHER". It matches the Rfam family "tRNA". From Rfam's summary of the family: Transfer RNA (tRNA) molecules are approximately 80 nucleotides in length. Their secondary structure includes four short double-helical elements and three loops (D, anti-codon, and T loops). Further hydrogen bonds mediate the characteristic L-shaped molecular structure. tRNAs have two regions of fundamental functional importance: the anti-codon, which is responsible for specific mRNA codon recognition, and the 3' end, to which the tRNAs corresponding amino acid is attached (by aminoacyl-tRNA synthetases). tRNAs cope with the degeneracy of the genetic code in two manners: having more than one tRNA (with a specific anti-codon) for a particular amino acid; and 'wobble' base-pairing, i.e. permitting non-standard base-pairing at the 3rd anti-codon position. Lineage: Bacteria; Pseudomonadati; Pseudomonadota; Betaproteobacteria; Burkholderiales; Burkholderiaceae. The record is from RNAcentral.
GCGGGAGUAGUUCAAUGGUAGAACCUUAGCCUUCCAGCUAAUGACGCGGGUUCGAUUCCCGUCUCCCGCUCCA